UGUGGAUAGUUCCUCUUCUAGUGACCCUACUUCUUGCAAAGAAGCACUCUGUCUGACUUUGAUCAGCUUUGAACUUGAGUUUCUGGGAUUGACUCUCAGCACCAGGCACCUUCUUAUUCUUCUUCUUUUUCUCUUUCUUAAAGGGACGAUGACUAUCUGAAGAAGAUCCUCUCACCAGAUUCACUGUCUCCUUGUGGAGCUGGUGAUCUUUCUCAAAAGUCUGUAGCAACCCCAAC
Molecule: long non-coding RNA, 236 nt
Filed under: Elaeis guineensis (African oil palm)
Lineage: Eukaryota; Viridiplantae; Streptophyta; Magnoliopsida; Arecales; Arecaceae
Description: long non-coding RNA (EGUI_LNC070838)
Source: RNAcentral